This 72-nucleotide transfer RNA is filed under the name Astropecten articulatus. RNAcentral's name for it is "tRNA-Ala". It matches the Rfam family "tRNA". Rfam says of the family: Transfer RNA (tRNA) molecules are approximately 80 nucleotides in length. Their secondary structure includes four short double-helical elements and three loops (D, anti-codon, and T loops). Further hydrogen bonds mediate the characteristic L-shaped molecular structure. tRNAs have two regions of fundamental functional importance: the anti-codon, which is responsible for specific mRNA codon recognition, and the 3' end, to which the tRNAs corresponding amino acid is attached (by aminoacyl-tRNA synthetases). tRNAs cope with the degeneracy of the genetic code in two manners: having more than one tRNA (with a specific anti-codon) for a particular amino acid; and 'wobble' base-pairing, i.e. permitting non-standard base-pairing at the 3rd anti-codon position. Lineage: Eukaryota; Metazoa; Echinodermata; Asteroidea; Paxillosida; Astropectinidae. The record is from RNAcentral.
GUGAACUUAGUAUAAAAGAUNAAACAUUUGAUUUGCACUCAAAAAAUCUAGGUUUAACCCCUAGAAUUCACA